This 537-nucleotide ribosomal RNA is filed under the name uncultured bacterium. RNAcentral's name for it is "bacterial SSU rRNA". It matches the Rfam family "Bacterial small subunit ribosomal RNA", at positions 9 to 540 of the family's 1533-position model. The record is from RNAcentral.
GAGUUGAUCCUGGCUCAAUGAACGCUGGCGGCAGGCCUACACAUGCAAGUCGAGCGGUACAGAGAGAACUGCUUCUCUGCUGACGAGCGGCGGACGGGUGAGUACCCCGUAGGAUUCUACCAAUAUGUGGGGGAUACCCCAGAAAAUGGGCUAAAAUCAGCGUAUACCGCCAUAGGGGGGAGAGGAGGUCAUCUUAGCACCCUCCGUUAUAUGAUCGAUCCUUCGUAAGAUUAGCUAGUUGGUGAGGUAAUGGCUCACCAAAGCGACGACCUUUAGCUGGUCUGAGAGGAUGAUCAGCCACACUGGGACUGAGACACGGCCCAGACUCCUACGGGAGGCAGCAGUGGGGAAUAUUGGACAAUGGGGGGAACCCUGAUCCAGCCAUGCCGCGUGUGUGAAGAAGGCCUUCGGGUUGUAAAGCACUUUCAGAUGUGAGGAAAGGUGAGUAGUUAAUACCUGCUUACUGUGACGUUAGCAUCAGAAGAAGGACCGGCUAACUCCGUGCCAGCAGCCGCGGUAAUACGGAGGGUCCGAGCG